UACGUAGGGUGCAAGCGUUGUCCGGAAUUAUUGGGCGUAAAGAGCUCGUAGGCGGUCUGUCGCGUCUGCUGUGAAAACUCGGGGCUUAACCCCGGGCCUGCAGUGGGUACGGGCAGACUAGAGUGCGGUAGGGGAGACUGGAAUUCCUGGUGUAGCGGUGAAAUGCGCAGAUAUCAAGGGAGGAACACCGGUGGGCCGAAGGCGGGUCUCUGGGCCGUAACUGAC
Molecule: ribosomal RNA, 225 nt
Filed under: uncultured bacterium
Lineage: Bacteria
Description: partial 16S ribosomal RNA
Rfam family: Bacterial small subunit ribosomal RNA
Source: RNAcentral